RNAcentral lists this ribosomal RNA (371 nucleotides) under Roseateles sp. UR30. RNAcentral's name for it is "bacterial SSU rRNA". It matches the Rfam family "Bacterial small subunit ribosomal RNA", at positions 967 to 1342 of the family's 1533-position model. Lineage: Bacteria; Pseudomonadati; Pseudomonadota; Betaproteobacteria; Burkholderiales; Sphaerotilaceae. The record is from RNAcentral.
AACCUUACCUACCCUUGACAUGUCAGGAAUCUUGCAGAGAUGUGAGAGUGCUCGAAAGAGAACCUGAACACAGGUGCUGCAUGGCCGUCGUCAGCUCGUGUCGUGAGAUGUUGGGUUAAGUCCCGCAACGAGCGCAACCCUUGUCAUUAGUUGCUACGAAAGGGCACUCUAAUGAGACUGCCGGUGACAAACCGGAGGAAGGUGGGGAUGACGUCAGGUCAUCAUGGCCCUUAUGGGUAGGGCUACACACGUCAUACAAUGGCCGGGACAGAGGGCUGCCAACCCGCGAGGGGGAGCUAAUCCCAGAAACCCGGUCGUAGUCCGGAUCGCAGUCUGCAACUCGACUGCGUGAAGUCGGAAUCGCUAGUAAU